Long non-coding RNA from Leopardus geoffroyi (Geoffroy's cat), 1958 nucleotides. RefSeq lists it as uncharacterized. The transcript is spliced from 4 exons. NCBI's taxonomy places the organism in Eukaryota, Metazoa, Chordata, Mammalia, Carnivora, Felidae. The record is from RefSeq and is a predicted model, not a curated record.
AUUAUGAAGGUUGAAUCAGGAAGGCAAGAUGAUGUCAAUGGCAAACACUACCUGUUCUGAAAAUUUUCUAGUGUUAUACUAAACAGACCUUUCUUCUUCCAGUCCAGCAUCAGGCACCAGAAUUCAGUUUAGUCCUGAUAAUAUUAUGUAUGGUUCAGGUACGUUAGGGGGCAAAUACACUUUCACGGGGAUCCUAAAAUUUCUUUGGGGGAAAUGUGUGUGUAUUUCACAAACUCAUCAGUAAAUGCCUGGAGUACCACCUGUUCCUAACUUGGGAGCGGUAUAAAAUAAAUUUAUAUACAAUUGAGUUAUUGAUGAGUUAAAAAGAUACUUAAUGUCUAACAACAACAACAACAACAACAAAAACCAAUGGGAAUAAUUUUAGAAAAGGGAGGAGUUGAAAGAAAAAGGUUUGCCAAGACAGGGUAAUAAAUAGGCAAUAGAGACAGGUGAAGAAAAUUGGAAAAAAGCUAGGUCAUGAUGAAAUGUCAUUAAGUCGUUUAAGUCACACAUUUGGUGAUGAAGGAGGAAUUAUCGGUAUAUUUACAAGAUAGAAAAGUUUUUCAAAAAAAGGAAAUUAAUUCUGAGGAUAGGCAGCUGAAAAGGCCUUGGGAGUUAAAAAAAAAUUGUAAGUCACAAGAUAUCUCCCUGGGAGACAGAACUGGAAAACCGCUGAUUUAAAAAAGUUAACUCUUGUCCCCAAGUCUCCCGAAAGACUGUAGACUAGCUUAAUUUAUAUUUACUUCCGUAGAAAAUAUUUCAACACAAAGUUUUCGCAAGGAGACCACAGAGUAAAGCGGUUACAUACUUUUCCAAAAUAAACACUACUAAUUAUAAAAUUUCAUCAAAUAUAAAUGGAGGGCGUUUUCUUUUUCUUUCUUUUCUUUCUCUCUCUCUCUCUUUCUUUCUUUCUCUCUCCCUCUUUCUUUCUUUCACCAGUUUCAAAAUAUUUGAGGAAAGGAAAUAAUUCAUUUCCCUAGGAGGUCCAACUGUGUGUUUCAGAGUUCCUACACCCCGGCCCAGAAAAGCAGACAUAAUCGGAUGUGUGUGCGUAUUUUCUGCGAGGUGCGUCAGCAUUUUAUCAACUUCUCAAAAGUGUCAGUGGCCCUGAGAAGUUCAAAUUCCCGGCACUAGAUUGUCUUUGGGAGUCCCUUUCAGCUCUCAAUGUACCGUAAUCCCAAGAAUCUUUGUUCUUGUAACCUAGCCUGUUUUGAAACCCCUUCUUCCACACAUCUAGGACUGCCAUCCAAGUGAUGCUCUGCGAAGCGGGCUUAGCUGUGGAAGUUCCCCCUGGACCCGGGGCUGGGGAAGGGCAUGAACAGCGCAGCUCCCCGAGUCCGCUCACCACUCCUUACACAGGCAGCGGAGCUGGGGCAGCUCCAAGUGCGCCGAGAAGUGUAAUCCCUCCGCUAAGUACUUGGCUCUCAGUCUCCAAUCACUAGUGGGAGCUGGAGAGGGCAAGUGAAAAAAAAAAAAAAAAAAAAAAAAAUCCAGAGGCAGCCGAGGAGCGAGAGGAAAAAAAAAAAAAGUCCCGCGGCGGCGGCAGAGCGGCCGCGGCGGCCAGAAGUUGACGGUGCAGCGGUCGCGGGGCGCGGGGCGCGGAGUUGGCGUGGGGCCUGCGCGGGGCGCCCGGACAGUUGGGGGGCCGCGGGGACAGCGGCGCUCAGGACGCCGGUGCCGGGAGCUCAGCGGCGGCAACAAUACUAUCCAGCUGGUUUUUGUGGGAGAGCCAGGCACGCGGCAGCCUGUGAAAGCCAGCGACCAGAAAACCACUGCCUACGUGAAACACGACUGUAUCUUCACAGGGCUAUCGAGGACCAGGCUCCAUUCAGCCCUCUUAAAAGGGUCGAAGGUUCAGACUUUUGCUGAAUCACAACACUUCACCGCUGAGCAAUGACAAGAGAGGAAACAAAAAGUUAAAGGAGCAAGCCUGCCAUAAGUGAGGAGAAAACUUACUU